UACGGAGGGGACUAGCGUUGUUCGGAAUUACUGGGCGUAAAGCGCACGUAGGCGGAUUUGUUAGUCAGGGGUGAAAUCCCGAGGCUCAACCUCGGAACUGCCUUUGAUACUGCAAAUCUCGAGUCCGGAAGAGGUGAGUGGAAUUCCCGGUGUAGCGGUGAAAUGCGUAGAGAUCGGGAGGAACACCAGUGGCGAAGGCGGCUACCUGGACCAGCACUGACACUGAGGCACGAAAGCGUGGGGAGCAAACAGG
Molecule: ribosomal RNA, 253 nt
Filed under: uncultured bacterium
Lineage: Bacteria
Description: partial 16S ribosomal RNA
Rfam family: Bacterial small subunit ribosomal RNA
Source: RNAcentral